This 2806-nucleotide long non-coding RNA is filed under the name Mus musculus (house mouse). RNAcentral describes it as "long non-coding RNA chr14:20943355-20946161". The record is from RNAcentral. Lineage: Eukaryota; Metazoa; Chordata; Mammalia; Rodentia; Muridae.
AUGAAGUACCGUUGACUCCAGCUCCAGGAUACCUACUGCCCCUUCAUGCCUCAGUGGUACCCGAACACAAUGCAUACAUAUACACAGACAUACAUAAGUAAGAAUAAAAAAUACAAUCUGAUUAAGAAACAACUGAAGGGUAGCCAGGCCACCCAGUGAAGUAACCUGGGGUCAGCGCUGUGGGCAGAGCUGAGGUAUUGCAUCUAUGAACAGUAGAACACAUCAGUUUAGUAUGGUGGAUACUGUGAUUACCUACAGACUGAAGUAGCUUCAUAGUUCUUAUUUAAAAAGGGACAAUCUUCUUCAAAGGCCCUAUCAAUUGAAAGAGUAACAGACUUCAAAUGUGACUCAGGAGACAGCAACUGCCUGUUUGGAAGUUAUAUACAUUAUUUCUAGUCUCUUUUAUGGUUUUUCUAGACUUAAAAGUCAUAGCAGUAACUUCAAAGUCUUUUAAAAAUAUUUAUAUUAUUUUAUGUAUAUGAGUGUUUUGCCAUAUGAUGGUGUACCACCUGUGUGUCUGGUGCCUGUGAAGGCCUGAAGAGGGUGUGGAAUCCCCAUGGUGAGCUGCCAUGUGAGUUCUGGGAGCCAAACCUAGGACCUUUGCAAGAGUAAUUAAAUGCUUCAUUUUUGACUCUUAUUCCUUAAUCAUACUUUAAAUACCAAUACUGAUAACAUUGUUUUAAUCAGAAGCAUUUCGAAGUACGGAGACCUCUAGGGUUUACUACUAUAUUUGUAAAAUCUGCAAUGUCAGAAUUAUAUUUUAUCUUGAGAGUGUAGAAGUCUUUGGUUCUCUCCACGGCCUGCCUCUCUCUCUCUCUCUCUCUCUCUCUCUCUCUCUCUCUCUCUCUCUCUCUCUCUCUCUUUCUCUCUCUCCCUCUCUCUCCCUCCCUCCCCCCCUCUCUCUGUGUGUGUGUUCUUAUGAUAGCCAAUGGUUCAUAUGAUUUCUUCAACCAUCCUCCACUUUAUUUUUGGAGACAUGAUCUUUCCUUGGAUAUGGAACUUUUGGAUUCAGUUAAAAUGGCUGGCCAGCAACUUCCAGAGAUCCUCUGGUAUGCACUUCCCCAACUCUGGGGUUACAGGUGUGGGCUGCCAUACCCAGCUUUUUUUAAAAAAUGUGGGUCCUGAGAUCCUAACUCAGGUUUUCAUGCUUCUGUGGCAACUCCUUUGCUGAGUGAGCUUUCUGAGUCAUCAUCUCAGCCCUGUAUUUGGUUCUUAAUUUUUUUAUUCAGUUGUGGUAAAAUGUGCUAAAUAUUUUACAAUUUUUACAUAUACAGUUUUGUGGUAUAACAUACAUUUAUAUUGUAUGUUAUAAUAUUUAUAUCAUAUGUUACAUUAUAUAUUAUAUUAAUUAUAUUAAUAUAAAUGUAUAUUAUAUUAUACAUUUAUAUUGUAUGUUAUAAUAUUUAUAUCAUAUGUUACAUUAUAUAUAUUAUAUUAAUUAUAUUAAUAUAAAUGUAUAUUAUAUCAUACAUUUAUAUUGUAUGUUAUAAUAUUUAUAUUGUAUGUUAUAAUGUAUAUAAUAUACAUUAUAUUGUUGAGAAACCACAUAUCUUUUUCCUAGCUAUUGGCAUAUACCAUUAUUUUUUGUCUUAGUGAAUUUGACUUUUGCUACCUUUGGAAUUAUGCAGUAUCGUCUUUUUAAUUUUUGCAGUGCUGUAGAUUGAAUCCAAAGCUUUAUAUGCAUCCUAGGCAAGCAUUCUACCUACAGGACUGCAUCCUGAGCCCCACAAUGUUUAUGCUUUAGUGACUGUUGUCUUCAGGGCUCUUUUUGGCAAGUGUUAGAAUUUUUUCAUUUUGAAGACUGAAUUAUAUUUUGUUGUUAAUAUAUAAUACUUAUAUUUAAAUAAUUUAAACUACAUUGUGUGGGUGUGUGUGCACACAAGCAUGUAUGCCUUCAUGCAUGUGGAGAUCAGAGGACAUUUUUGUAAUGUCAAAUCUCUCUCUACCAUGUGAUUCUCAGGCCAUCAAGCUUGGUGGCAUGCACCUUUACCCCACGGAACUAUCUGAUUGGGCUACCAUAUUUAGCUUCAUUGCUCAUCUCUUGAUAGAUUUUGGGUUGCAUAUGUCUAUGGAUAUUAAAAAGUAAUGCUGCUGUUUCAUCAUAGUUUUAGUGCCUUAAGAAAUUUGGACUCUGUUCCUGAUGGGUAUAAAGUUCUGGUGGACUCGGGCUGGGACUGUGAACUGGUCUCAGAGGCUAGAGAGUACACAUGCAAUCAAAAGUAGGCCAAAGGCUGUUUUGGGGAAUGUGGUGGGAAGACAAGAAGGGAAGUUUGUUUAACUUUAUGGAGGCUAUUUUUGAAAUAUGAGGGAAUUAGCCUGAGAAAAUGGGGAAAUCUAUUGCAAGAGAACAUAGAGAAGAGUGUAAAUGUAUAGUUAGGAGUAGGGAAGGGUUAACAAUGAGACUACUAAGGCAGAUCAGGUCUGCUAGGGAAGGAACUUUUUUGCCAUAUACACUAGUCAUAAAGAAAGAAAAGAAAAGCUGAUUUAUGAAUACAUCAAACAGUCAUUUAAUUUAAAACGUAAAAGGUGAAAGGAUUAGGGUCGAAAGGACCUUCUCAUCCUGGGUUCCCUCUGUCCUCUUAGGAAAGCAAGACCAUAGGAAACAGUGUUUUAGGAGUGCUUGGAGAGAGUUUAGGUACAUGUCAGAAAUAUAGUCUCCUUGUCAUACUGUCUUAGUCCAACUUUUCCACCGUCAUAUUUUAUAGAAUACUUAUUAGUACUUAGAACUCUAUGAGUUUGAGGCCAGCCUAGUCUAGGUCAAGUUCCAGGACAAGGAGGGCCGGCCGUAUAAAAAGAUACUUGUCUU